CAUAUCUCUUUCACUGAGAAAAAAUAGGGAAUUGAUAGUUAUGAUGAUGGGAGCAAAUAUGUCAAGUUCCCCUGCAAGUCCACCAUUGACUCUGGAACGUAUCACAAAUUAGAUGUGAGAAAAUAAGUCUAAUCUAAAAUGUGUUCACCAACUUGCUAUAUCAAGGAACACGUAAUGCGAAUAUCUUGACACAUAACCAUUCAUUUUCAAAACUGAUUUCCUAGAGCAGGGGUUCCCAAUCAAGUCCACAAGUACCCCUUACCAGUCCAGGAUUUAGGGAUUACCCUGUUGUGUCUAGAGUGUUCUUUUU
Molecule: non-coding RNA, 310 nt
Organism: Pelobates cultripes (western spadefoot toad)
Lineage: Eukaryota; Metazoa; Chordata; Amphibia; Anura; Pelobatidae
Source: the annotation of a GenBank genome assembly